This is a long non-coding RNA of Hibiscus syriacus, 519 nucleotides long. RefSeq lists it as uncharacterized. Lineage: Eukaryota; Viridiplantae; Streptophyta; Magnoliopsida; Malvales; Malvaceae. The transcript has 3 exons. The record is from RefSeq and is a predicted model, not a curated record.
AGCAAAAUUGCUCUCUGUGUGUGUCUUGGUUUGAAGCUUCAAGUGCAAAGUCAAGGGAUUUAUGGGUGGAGAAGAGGAUAGGGAUCUCUCUGCCUUCAAAGUUUGAUCCUUGAAUUCAAAGCUUUAUACUUUUCUAACUUGUUCUUCCCUUCUAUCUUUUUAGCUUUCUUUUCGUUUCUUUUUUUUCUCUCCUGGCUCCUGUCCAUCUAGAAAGAAUUUUUGUCUUGUCCUCUGUUCUGUUGCGUUCUUUGCUGUUCGAGCAUCAUGGCUUCAAAGCGGAUUUUGAAGGAACUCAAGGAUUUGCUGUCCAUCCAGUGUUGUAGUGCUAAAUGCUGAUAAUUUUGAUGAGGUUGUUCUUGAUGAGACCAAAGACGUGUUGGUUGAGUUUUAUGCUCCUUGGUGUGGCCAUUGCAAAAUCCUUGCGCCUACCUAUGAAGAGGUAGCGACAGCAUUUAAAAUGGAAGAUGAUGUAAUAAUAGCAAAUCUAGAUGCCGAUAAAUACAAAGAUUUAGAGGAAAA